This is a non-coding RNA of Lepisosteus oculatus (spotted gar), 510 nucleotides long. The record is from RefSeq and is a predicted model, not a curated record. Lineage: Eukaryota; Metazoa; Chordata; Actinopteri; Semionotiformes; Lepisosteidae.
CGACAGGAGAGCUAAAUGCCACGUCUCUCACUGACAUCCCUGAGAUCAGAUGCAAGAGACCCAGCAAGUCAUAGGAGUCGCAGUCAGAAAGCCUUCUGCAUUUCGAUCCUGUUUCAGCAUGUUACAGCGAAAAAGCCUGGUGGAAGAUGAAGCACAGUGAUUGUUUGUUCAGGCAUGAGACGACACAGAACUGCGUAAGCAGGGGGAUUGUUAUUGAUCCCGAUGAAGCAAGGCCUGACCUGUACACAUCUUGAGAGUGGCCUCAGCUGUACCAUCUCAGAGGGAUAGACGUCUUUGUCAGGACUGCCAAUACACAUCCGCUACAGGAGCAAAGGUGAAUCAAAAUGUCCAAUCAUCUUUCCUGAAGACCACAUUUGGCUUACUUUUACAUUUUUUGGAAAGCAGAUUAAGCCUUUUCCUUUAAAUCUUCAUUGUGUGAGAAAUGAACCAACUGCAAUUGUUACAGUUUAUAAUUUCACUGUUUUGCAUAUGACAAAGAAAAAUCAGAAA